UGAUGUGUAGGAUAGGUGGGAGGCUUUGAAGUGUGGACGCCAGUCUGCAUGGAGCCGACCUUGAAAUACCACCCUUUAAUGUUUGAUGUUCUAACGUUGACCCGUGAUCCGGGUUGCGGACAGUGUCUGGUGGGUAGUUUGACUGGGGCGGUCUCCUCCUAAAGAGUAACGGAGGAGCACGAAGGUUGGCUAAUCCUGGUCGGACAUCAGGAGGUUAGUGCAAUGGCAUAAGCCAGCUUGACUGCGAGCGUGACGGCGCGAGCAGGUGCGAAAGCAGGUCAUAGUGAUCCGGUGGUUCUGAAUGGAAGGGCCAUCGCUCAACGGAUAAAAGGUACUCCGGGGAUAACAGGCUGAUACCGCCCAAGAGUUCAUAUCGACGGCGGUGUUUGGCACCUCGAUGUCGGCUCAUCACAUCCUGGGGCUGAAGUAGGUCCCAAGGGUAUGGCUGUUCGC
RNAcentral lists this ribosomal RNA (453 nucleotides) under Escherichia coli. RNAcentral describes it as "bacterial LSU rRNA". It matches the Rfam family "Bacterial large subunit ribosomal RNA", at positions 2132 to 2584 of the family's 2925-position model. Lineage: Bacteria; Pseudomonadati; Pseudomonadota; Gammaproteobacteria; Enterobacterales; Enterobacteriaceae. The record is from RNAcentral.